This is a small nucleolar RNA of Hyposmocoma kahamanoa, 130 nucleotides long. The record is from RefSeq and is a predicted model, not a curated record. NCBI's taxonomy places the organism in Eukaryota, Metazoa, Arthropoda, Insecta, Lepidoptera, Cosmopterigidae.
AAACGGCCCGAUCGAAGCUGAACAAAGGUGAAAUGUUUUGUAUCAGUCAAAACGUGGCCAAGAGCGAGUUUGUCAUUAGGUCGUACGGUACGUCUGUGCGAAUCGUGCAUUACCCAUGGCAAAAACAUUC